RNAcentral lists this long non-coding RNA (765 nucleotides) under Equus caballus (horse). Its description in RNAcentral is "lncRNA (ENSECAG00000037419.2)". The record is from RNAcentral. Lineage: Eukaryota; Metazoa; Chordata; Mammalia; Perissodactyla; Equidae.
CUUAAAGUCAGGCCAUGGGGAAGAUGACCCAUCCAGGACACAUCAGGCAUCAGGUGCAAAGCUGGGACUAUCCCCUUGGUCUUCUAACUCUGAGUCCAGUGUUCUUUCGACGACACUCCAUGUAGUCAUGGUCACCGCCAUCCCCCAUCCCCCAGCCGCUAAGGCCAUGACAGCUGUUCCUCCAACACUGAUGAACACUGUGAGGGAAAACUCCACGAGUCAGGCUCAGGGCUUCCCCAAGGCCAGCCUGCUGAGACAGGUUUUGGGGCCGGAGUCAGGGGACCAGGAGGUUCCCUUUUCCUGCUGGAGAGAAGCCCGGAAGCUGAACAGCAGGAAGAAGGCCUCUUCAUUCCUGUUUAGAAGAGAAGGAUCUUGUUGCUUGACUUUUCUUGACUAUUGUCUGGCUUUCAUUGAAAGCUUUGGAAGUUCUACCCUAUGUCCGGCGUCCCAGGUCUUGAUGAACAAAAAGGAGUCAGCACCUAAGUUAAUCUUCCUUCUUCAUUUCCAACCACAGCUCAAGGGUUUUGCUGUCUGUCUUUGGAAAUGACUCAACUAACAGAUGGGGGUGGAAAUCUGCACCACGAAAUUAAUUACGCCGCGUCUUCAGGCUUUGUCCUCUCAUUUACUGAAUCGUGUUUAAUUAACAACUCAAGACUGCACCUCCUUGCAGAUGAGUUUGCAUUUCAUGAGAUCAUAAAAUUAAAGAAAAAGUCUGCCAAGCUCACUGCUUGUUAUAGUCCUUGUCCCCGGCCUGACCCUGAUUAC